RNAcentral lists this ribosomal RNA (314 nucleotides) under uncultured bacterium. RNAcentral describes it as "bacterial SSU rRNA". It matches the Rfam family "Bacterial small subunit ribosomal RNA", at positions 8 to 334 of the family's 1533-position model. The record is from RNAcentral.
AGGGUUUGAUUCUGGCUCAGAACGAACGCUGGCGGCAGGCUUAACACAUGCAAGUCGAACGGAGUAUAUAUGGCUUGCCAUAUAUACCAGUGGCGCACGGGUGAGUAACGCGUGGGGAUCUGUCUUUGAUGUAUCGGAUAGCUUUUGGAAACGAAAGGUAAUACGGUAUGAGCCCUGAGGGGGAAAGGAGUAAUCCGCAUUAAGAGGAACCCGCGUUAGAUUAGGCAGUUGGUGGGGUAACGGCCUACCAAACCGACGAUCUAUAGCCGGUCUGAGAGGAUGAUCGGCCACAUUGGGACUGAGACACGGCCCAA